CCUACGGGUGGCAGCAGUGAGGAAUAUUGGUCAAUGGGCGGAAGCCUGAACCAGCCAAGUCGCGUGAGGGAAUAAGGCCCUACGGGUCGUAAACCUCUUUUGCCGGGGAGCAAGAGCGGGGACGUGUCCCGGCCCGGAGAGUACCCGGAGAAAAAGCAUGGGCCAACUCCGUGCCAGCAGCCGGGGUAAUACGGGGGUUGCGAGCGUUAUCCGGAUUUAUUGGGGUUAAAGGGUUGGUUGGCGGAUCGUUAAGUAAGUGGUCAAAUUGAGGGGCUCAACCCCUUUCCGCCAUUGAAACUGGAGUUCUUGAGUGGAGGAGAGGUAUGCGGAAUGCGUGGUGUAGCGGUGAAAUGCAUAGAUAUCACGCAGAACCCCGAUGGCGAAGGCAGCAUGCCGGCUUCCGACUGACGCUGAAGCACGAAAGCGUGGGGAUCGAACAGGAUUAGAUACCCGAGUAGUC
RNAcentral lists this ribosomal RNA (460 nucleotides) under uncultured bacterium. Its description in RNAcentral is "partial 16S ribosomal RNA". It matches the Rfam family "Bacterial small subunit ribosomal RNA", at positions 338 to 795 of the family's 1533-position model. The record is from RNAcentral.